AAGUCGAGCGCGCCUUCGGGCGAGCGGCGAACGAGUGAGUAACACGUUGGAAUCUACCCCGUACUCAGGGAUAACAUCGAGAAAUCGAUGCUAAUACCGGAUAGUCUCGUAAGAGUAAAGCUUUUGCGGUACGGGAGGAUCCUGCGGCCUAUUAGCUUGUUGGUAAGGUAAUGGCUUACCAAGGCAAUGAUGGGUAGCUGGUCUGAGAGGAUGACCAGUCACGAUGGGACUGAGACACGGCCCAUACUCC
This 250-nucleotide ribosomal RNA is filed under the name uncultured bacterium. RNAcentral's name for it is "partial 16S ribosomal RNA". It matches the Rfam family "Bacterial small subunit ribosomal RNA", at positions 59 to 339 of the family's 1533-position model. The record is from RNAcentral.